CGCACAACAGCGCUGCAUGGUUCCCCCGUGUCCGGCCCAGCCAGACAGGGGAACAAGAGGGAAUGUGGUGCGGGCUGAUCCAAACAGGAGGCCCAAGGCCACAGCCGCCCCCGCGACUGUAAGCGGUGAGCGCCCGUCAAUUCAGCCACUGGAUCACUCCGGGAAGGCGACGACGCGCUACGACCCGCAAGCCAGGAGACCUGCCAUGCCAAAUGCAACCUG
Molecule: non-coding RNA, 222 nt
Filed under: Pseudooctadecabacter jejudonensis
Lineage: Bacteria; Pseudomonadati; Pseudomonadota; Alphaproteobacteria; Rhodobacterales; Paracoccaceae
Source: RNAcentral